This 340-nucleotide non-coding RNA is filed under the name Candidatus Hodgkinia cicadicola. Lineage: Bacteria; Pseudomonadati; Pseudomonadota; Alphaproteobacteria; Hyphomicrobiales. The record is from RNAcentral.
UGGGGACUUCUGUUGAUGGGCGUCCCCUGACCCCUUGUGCUAACCGCUAGCUGUUGCUAACUACGAUAGCACGCGCUUAAUCGCUAGCUCUAUUCGGAGCUAACGCGUCAGCGUGUGUGUAAACUCACUGUAUUGGCUUACAUUUCUUCCUAUUUAACGCAUAGGCUUCGGACAAGCGUGGGAGUCUUUACACCGCUGUCUACUUUCUUAUCAACACCCCCUCGCAAAGAAAAAGGAAAAAAUAAUAAAUAUAUAAUCGCAUUGUGGAGGUGCCGGGAAUUAAACCCGGAUCCAGCGGAUUAUUGCAUUGCCACUUGUUUAUUGUCAUAGCUAAGUUAGC